Molecule: ribosomal RNA, 670 nt
Filed under: Burkholderia sp. phk1
Lineage: Bacteria; Pseudomonadati; Pseudomonadota; Betaproteobacteria; Burkholderiales; Burkholderiaceae
Description: bacterial SSU rRNA
Rfam family: Bacterial small subunit ribosomal RNA
Source: RNAcentral
AUGCAAGUCGAACGGCAGCACGGGUGCUUGCACCUGGUGGCGAGUGGCGAACGGGUGAGUAAUACAUCGGAACAUGUCCUGUAGUGGGGGAUAGCCCGGCGAAAGCCGGAUUAAUACCGCAUACGAUCUAUGGAUGAAAGCGGGGGACCUUCGGGCCUCGCGCUAUAGGGUUGGCCGAUGGCUGAUUAGCUAGUUGGUGGGGUAAAGGCCUACCAAGGCGACGAUCAGUAGCUGGUCUGAGAGGACGACCAGCCACACUGGGACUGAGACACGGCCCAGACUCCUACGGGAGGCAGCAGUGGGGAAUUUUGGACAAUGGGCGAAAGCCUGAUCCAGCAAUGCCGCGUGUGUGAAGAAGGCCUUCGGGUUGUAAAGCACUUUUGUCCGGAAAGAAAUCCUUGGCUCUAAUACAGUCGGGGGAUGACGGUACCGGAAGAAUAAGCACCGGCUAACUACGUGCCAGCAGCCGCGGUAAUACGUAGGGUGCAAGCGUUAAUCGGAAUUACUGGGCGUAAAGCGUGCGCAGGCGGUUUGCUAAGACCGAUGUGAAAUCCCCGGGCUCAACCUGGGAACUGCAUUGGUGACUGGCAGGCUAGAGUAUGGCAGAGGGGGGUAGAAUUCCACGUGUAGCAGUGAAAUGCGUAGAGAUGUGGAGGAAUACCGAUGGCGA